UACGUAGGGGGCAAGCGUUGUCCGGAAUCAUUGGGCGUAAAGAGCGUGUAGGCGGUCAGAAAAGUCCGCUGUGAAAACUCGAGGCUCAACUUCGAGCUGUCGGUGGAAACUUUCUGGCUAGAGUCCGGAAGAGGAGAAUGGAAUUCCUGGUGUAGCGGUGAAAUGCGCAGAUAUCAGGAAGAACACCCGUGGCGAAGGCGGUUCUCUGGGACGGUACUGACGCUGAGACGCGAAAGCGUGGGGAGCGAACAGG
Molecule: ribosomal RNA, 253 nt
Filed under: uncultured bacterium
Lineage: Bacteria
Description: partial 16S ribosomal RNA
Rfam family: Bacterial small subunit ribosomal RNA
Source: RNAcentral